This 497-nucleotide ribosomal RNA is filed under the name uncultured bacterium. Its description in RNAcentral is "partial 16S ribosomal RNA". It matches the Rfam family "Bacterial small subunit ribosomal RNA", at positions 28 to 507 of the family's 1533-position model. The record is from RNAcentral.
GAUGAACGCUGGCGGCGUGCCUAAUACAUGCAAGUCGAGCGAACGGACGAGAAGCUUGCUUCUCUGAUGUUAGCGGCGGACGGGUGAGUAACACGUGUAUAACCUACCUAUAAGACUGGGAUAACUUCGGGAAACCGGAGCUAAUACCGGAUAAUAUUUUGAACCGCAUGGUUCAAAAGUGAAAGACGGUCUUGCUGUCACUUAUAGAUGCAUCCGCGCUGCAUUAGCUAGUUGGUAAGGUAACGGCUUACCAAGGCAACGAUGCAUAGCCGACCUGAGAGGGUGAUCGGCCACCUUGGAACUGAGACACGGUCAAGACUCCUACGGGAGGCAGCAGUAGGGAAUCUUCCGCAAUGGGCGAAAGCCUGACGGAGCAACGCCGCGUGAGUGAUGAAGGUCUUCGGAUCGUAAAACUCUGUUAUUAGGGAAGAACAGAUGUGUAAGUAACUGUGCACAGCUUGACGGUACCGAAUCAGAAAGCCACGGCUAACUACGUG